CUUUUCCUAAUAGAGUGAUUUAAGCCUUCAUUUUUAGACAUCUAAGCCCUUGGUGAUCAUCAGCAUAAAAUGUGACAAAUUAAACAAAAGCAAGACAGCACAUCAGAGAACAACUCUGAGGUGGAAUGAUUGGGAACCAAUGAAUAGUUGUUCAGUAAAUGGUUUAUAUUUUACAGAUGAUGAAACUGAAACACAAAAAAUUUAGAUUAACUCUUAGGUGACAAAGCCAGGAUUGAAGCUCAUGCGGUCUGGCUCCAGAACAACUCUUCUUCAUAGUUACGUUAUACUGCCCCUGCAUUGUUGGUAUUGAAAAUAACUGAUACCGUGCUUCCAGAAGAUUUUUCUAACAGUGUUUGCAAGCUAUAAAAUAGUGCUUUCACUUAGAAAAGGCUAGACGUGGUGGUUCAUGCCUGUAAUCCCAGCACUUUGAGAGGCCGAGGCACCAUGCUGGGAGAUAAGGAUCCAACAUAAGACAAACAGUGCUGAUGCUUUUGGAAAGCUCAUAUUCAAGCUGGGGAGACAAACAACAUACAAGAGGGCUCUGAGAGAUUUCAUUUCUGUCCUGCUGAUGAAGUCUACGUUCAUUCAGGGCCUGCUGUGGAAGACCAGCCCCAAAGUUGCUGAACAGAAGACUUUUGAGAGUCAGCAGAAAUCUUCCACUUUGCAUGGUUCUCUUGAUGUGAAAUCAUCUAUAUAGCCCCAGAAUUGGAAAAG
Molecule: long non-coding RNA, 714 nt
Filed under: Homo sapiens (human)
Lineage: Eukaryota; Metazoa; Chordata; Mammalia; Primates; Hominidae
Description: non-protein coding CCDC18-AS1:67
Source: RNAcentral